RNAcentral lists this ribosomal RNA (497 nucleotides) under uncultured bacterium. Its description in RNAcentral is "partial 16S ribosomal RNA". It matches the Rfam family "Bacterial small subunit ribosomal RNA", at positions 28 to 507 of the family's 1533-position model. The record is from RNAcentral.
GAUGAACGCUGGCGGCGUGCCUAAUACAUGCAAGUCGAGCGAACAGACGAGGAGCUUGCUCCUCUGACGUUAGCGGCGGACGGGUGAGUAACACGUGGAUAACCUACCUAUAAGACUGGGAUAACUUCGGGAAACCGGAGCUAAUACCGGAUAAUAUAUUGAACCGCAUGGUUCAAUAGUGAAAGACGGUUGUGCUGUCACUUAUAGAUGGAUCCGCGCCGCAUUAGCUAGUUGGUAAGGUAACGGCUUACCAAGGCAACGAUGCGUAGCCGACCUGAGAGGGUGAUCGGCCACACUGGAACUGAGACACGGUCCAGACUCCUACGGGAGGCAGCAGUAGGGAAUCUUCCGCAAUGGGCGAAAGCUUGACGGAGCAACGCCGCGUGAGUGAUGAAGGUCUUCGGAUCGUAAAACUCUGUUAUUAGGGAAGAACAAAUGUGUAAGUAACUAUGCACGUCUUGACGGUACCUAAUCAGAAAGCCACGGCUAACUACGUG